GAUGAAGAACGUAGCGAAAUGCGAUAAGUAAUGUGAAUUGCAGAAUUCAGUGAAUCAUCGAAUCUUUGAACGCAUAUUGCGCCCCUUGGUAUUCCGAGGGGCAUGCCUGUUCGAGCGUCAUUAUAACCCCUCAAGCUCAGCUUGGUGUUGGGGCCUGCCGCACGGGCAGCCCUUAAAAUCAGUGGCGGUGCCAUCUGGCUCUAAGCGUAGUAAUUCUUCUCGCUAUAGAGUCACGGUGGAUGCUUGCCAUUAACCCCCAAUUUUCAAUGGUUGACCUCGGAUCAGGUAGGGAUACCCGCUGAACUUAAGCAUAUCAAUAAGCGGAGGA
This 328-nucleotide unclassified non-coding RNA is filed under the name soil metagenome. RNAcentral's name for it is "partial contains 5.8S ribosomal RNA, internal transcribed spacer 2, and large subunit ribosomal RNA". The stretch from base 1 to 120 matches the Rfam family "5.8S ribosomal RNA", at positions 35 to 154 of the family's 154-position model. The record is from RNAcentral.